UGGCUCUUUCUGAAGAAGGAGACUUUGAAGCUGCCAGGAGACUGGGACCUGACUUCCAUCAAAAUCGUCUUAAGGAAGUGGUAGAGGCAGUGAAUAACAUUGCCCUGGUGGACAGUGUGUUUAUCCAUCACUCCCCUUCUGAACCUGAUUCCUGCAGUGCUACACUUCCUACUGGGACUUCUGCUAGACCCAAAGAGGACUCCAGUUUUAACCUCCCAAACACCAAGCUAACUCUGCCAAUGUGUGAAUUGGCCCUAUCGUCUAUAUGGACAUCCCUGGAAAGUAUUUUGCCAAGCUUCUAGGUUUUGUCUAUCACUUGGCUACAGCAGCAUCACCAACUUUGAGGCUUCCAUGAUUCCUGAGCCUUCUCAGGAUGCUACCUUGAGACAAGAUUCCUUCUACCUCCUGUACUCCAGAGCCUUCUGUAGGAAAGUUUUCGUUGGGAAACCACAUGGUGCUGUGGAAAAAGGACUAGACCUGAGCUCAGGACAGGCCAGAUUUACACUUAGUACCUACGUGAUCAUGAGCAAAUGACUGACUGCCUCUUGAAAUAUUCAUUUCCUCAUCUUCAAUAUGGAGAUAAUAACUUGUGAACACUUAACAUGGUCAUCAUCAUUAUUAGCAUUAUUAUUACUUAUAAUGAUAGUUAAUAUAUUUUCUUUAUUGUUUUAUUGUUUGCAAAGGG
This 685-nucleotide long non-coding RNA is filed under the name Monodelphis domestica (gray short-tailed opossum). RNAcentral describes it as "lncRNA (ENSMODG00000035179.2)". The record is from RNAcentral. Lineage: Eukaryota; Metazoa; Chordata; Mammalia; Didelphimorphia; Didelphidae.